GACGAACGCUGGCGGCGUGCUUAACACAUGCAAGUCGAACGGAAAGGCCCUGCUUUUGUGGGGUGCUCGAGUGGCGAACGGGUGAGUAACACGUGAGUAACCUGCCCUUGACUUUGGGAUAACUUCAGGAAACUGGGGCUAAUACCGGAUAGGAGCUCCUGCUGCAUGGUGGGGGUUGGAAAGUUUCGGCGGCUGGGGAUGGACUCGCGGCUUAUCAGCUUGUUGGUGGGGUAGUGGCUUACCAAGGCUUUGACGGGUAGCCGGCCUGAGAGGGUGACCGGCCACAUUGGGACUGAGAUACGGCCCAGACUCCUACGGGAGGCAGCAGUGGGGAAUAUUGCACAAUGGGCGGAAGCCUGAUGCAGCAACGCCGCGUGCGGGAUGACGGCCUUCGGGUUGUAAACCGCUUUCGCCUGUGACGAAGCGUGAGUGACGAUAAUGGGUAAAGAAGCACCGGCUAACUACGUG
Molecule: ribosomal RNA, 468 nt
Filed under: uncultured bacterium
Lineage: Bacteria
Description: partial 16S ribosomal RNA
Rfam family: Bacterial small subunit ribosomal RNA
Source: RNAcentral